RNAcentral lists this microRNA precursor (74 nucleotides) under Bombyx mori (domestic silkworm). RNAcentral's name for it is "mir-2807 microRNA precursor family". It matches the Rfam family "mir-2807 microRNA precursor family". The record is from Rfam by way of RNAcentral. Lineage: Eukaryota; Metazoa; Arthropoda; Insecta; Lepidoptera; Bombycidae.
UAUAGUUACAUUUGUAUGGACUUGGAACGUUUGCCGCUAGGGGCGCUGUUCCAAAUGCAUACAAAUUUCAGUUA